GCCAGGCGUGGUGGCGCAUGCCUGUAGUCCCAGCUACUUGGAGGCUGAGGUGGGAGAAUCACUUGAGCCCAGGAGGUCGAGGCUGCAGUGAACCAUGAUCGUGCCACUGCUCUCCAGCCUGGGUGACGGAGAUCCCACCUCCA
This 143-nucleotide non-coding RNA is filed under the name Nomascus leucogenys (northern white-cheeked gibbon). Lineage: Eukaryota; Metazoa; Chordata; Mammalia; Primates; Hylobatidae. The record is from Rfam by way of RNAcentral.